This 68-nucleotide non-coding RNA is filed under the name Clostridiales bacterium 41_12_two_minus. The record is from RNAcentral. Lineage: Bacteria; Bacillati; Bacillota; Clostridia; Eubacteriales.
AGCCGAAACGCUCCGGCUGGAGCGUCCACCGUGGAACGGUCGCCCGGUGCUGACGAUGGAAGACCAGA